CCCUACGGGGGGCAGCAGUGGGGAAUAUUGCACAAUGGGGGAAACCCUGAUGCAGCCAUGCCGCGUGUGUGAAGAAGGCCUUCGGGUUGUAAAGCACUUUCAGUGGGGAGGAAGGGAUGAUGUCUAAUACGCAUUGUCAUUGACGUUACCCACAGAAGAAGCACCGGCUAACUCCGUGCCAGCAGCCGCGGUAAUACGGAGGGUGCAAGCGUUAAUCGGAAUAACUGGGCGUAAAGCGCACGCAGGCGGUUAGAUAAGUCAGAUGUGAAAUCCCCGGGCUCAACCUGGGAACUGCAUUUGAAACUGUCUGACUAGAGUCUUGUAGAGGGGGGUAGAAUUCCAGGUGUAGCGGUGAAAUGCGUAGAGAUCUGGAGGAAUACCGGUGGCGAAGGCGGCCCCCUGGACAAAGACUGACGCUCAGGUGCGAAAGCGUGGGGAGCAAACAGGAUUAGAUACCCUUGUAGUC
Molecule: ribosomal RNA, 466 nt
Filed under: uncultured Aeromonadaceae bacterium
Lineage: Bacteria; Pseudomonadati; Pseudomonadota; Gammaproteobacteria; Aeromonadales; Aeromonadaceae
Description: bacterial SSU rRNA
Rfam family: Bacterial small subunit ribosomal RNA
Source: RNAcentral